Molecule: long non-coding RNA, 985 nt
Filed under: Anthonomus grandis grandis
Lineage: Eukaryota; Metazoa; Arthropoda; Insecta; Coleoptera; Curculionidae
Description: uncharacterized LOC126735996
Source: RNAcentral
CUUGUGUAAAUUUAAAUCAUUUUGUGAAACUUCUAAGCAAUAUUACAUUAGAUUUGUAAAAUUACCGAAGAAAGUUGCAAAAUCACAUUCAUAUUAUAAAAAUACAUAAUAUUUGUAAUUGUUUUUACUAUUAUAAUGUAAAAUUACAAGUUUUUUGUAAAUUUAUACCUUAAUUCUUAAAUUUACUUUGGCUAUGUAAACCGCGGCCAAUGAGAGUGCGUGUUUACGCGUCCCCCAGCGAUUCCGAAAUUUUCAACGUAAAUGACGACUAAAAUAUUAUUUUUGACUUACGACAGGUAAUAAAGAAUUUUGUGCUAGUCCUUUUGUUUAUCUUUACUGUUUCUUCGUGCCUAUAAGUAUCAGGUAAGUUAAAUAUUUACAUUAAUACCUGUUAACAAUGAUUACUUGUCAAAUUGCCUGACUGGUCAAUUUGCCAAUUUCCAUAUAAUCUGUGCGUGGUCCUUUAUGAAAAUGUCUUAUUACCUAUUAGUAUGCAUUUAGUAUAGAUUUUCAGCAAGUAAAGGACAUUACUGAUGACUCUUCUCUUGAGCUUGGUAUGGACCACGGAACUGUAUUAUGUGGUGGCUCUAACAAUACUAUAAAAAUAUAUCUAGAACAAGAACCUGUUACGGAAAAAUGUGACUCAUUUGGAGGAGCAUUGCAUUGCUUAAUUGCUCUUUAAUUUGGAAUAUCCCAAAGAAGAAAUGCAAUGUCCUGCAUUUUGGAGUUCCUUCAAAGAUAUUUUAAAAAAAUACACCCCGAAGCAGGAACCAAAUCGAAAAAACAAAAUCUUUUGAAAAGAAAGGUUAUUUCAUAUUAACCGAAGUUCUGAAUAAUAAAUUAUUAUUUUAUUAAAUAAUUAUUUAUAAAUUAUUAUAUUAUUUCUUUUUUUGAGUCCAUAAAUGUUAAAUGAAUUAGUUCCAACCUUAAAGGGUUUUUUUGUGAGAUUUAGCUUGUAAGUAGGUACCUAUAUUAACAUAUUUGA